UGCGCGCCGGGCUCACUUUUCUACCGCCGCGGGCGAGCGGCUGGUGGAUCUCACCCUUGAUAAGAGCCGCCAGCCGCCAGCCGGCCUCGGUGGCUGGGUUUGCCUGAACUCAGGAGAAGCCAAGAUGCCCCUAGGUGCCUGGGACUUGUUAGCUGGACGGCGUUGCGCGGAGCCCAGGCUGAAGCGGGGCUGGAG
Long non-coding RNA from Myotis brandtii (Brandt's bat), 195 nucleotides. RefSeq lists it as uncharacterized. The record is from RefSeq and is a predicted model, not a curated record. The transcript is spliced from 3 exons. Lineage: Eukaryota; Metazoa; Chordata; Mammalia; Chiroptera; Vespertilionidae.